Molecule: ribosomal RNA, 1346 nt
Filed under: uncultured bacterium
Lineage: Bacteria
Description: partial 16S ribosomal RNA
Rfam family: Bacterial small subunit ribosomal RNA
Source: RNAcentral
GACGAACGCUGUCGGCGUGCUUAACACAUGCAAGUCGAACGGAAAGGCCCUGCUUUUGUGGGGUGCUCGAGUGGCGAACGGGUGAGUAACACGUGAGUAACCUGCCCUUGACUUUGGGAUAACUUCAGGAAACUGGGGCUAAUACCGGAUAGGAGCUCCUGCUGCAUGGUGGGGGUUGGAAAGUUUCGGCGGUUGGGGAUGGACUCGCGGCUUAUCAGCUUGUUGGUGGGGUAGUGGCUUACCAAGGCUUUGACGGGUAGCCGGCCUGAGAGGGUGACCGGCCACAUUGGGACUGAGAUACGGCCCAGACUCCUACGGGAGGCAGCAGUGGGGAAUAUUGCACAAUGGGCGGAAGCCUGAUGCAGCAACGCCGCGUGCGGGAUGACGGCCUUCGGGUUGUAAACCGCUUUCGCCUGUGACGAAGCGUGAGUGACGGUAAUGGGUAAAGAAGCACCGGCUAACUACGUGCCAGCAGCCGCGGUGAUACGUAGGGUGCGAGCGUUGUCCGGAUUUAUUGGGCGUAAAGGGCUCGUAGGUGGUUGAUCGCGUCGGAAGUGUAAUCUUGGGGCUUAACCCUGAGCGUGCUUUCGAUACGGGUUGACUUGAGGAAGGUAGGGGAGAAUGGAAUUCCUGGUGGAGCGGUGGAAUGCGCAGAUAUCAGGAGGAACACCAGUGGCGAAGGCGGUUCUCUGGGCCUUUCCUGACGCUGAGGAGCGAAAGCGUGGGGAGCGAACAGGCUUAGAUACCCUGGUAGUCCACGCUGUAAACGGUGGGUACUAGGUGUGGGGUCCAUUCCACGGGUUCCGUGCCGUAGCUAACGCUUUAAGUACCCCGCCUGGGGAGUACGGCCGCAAGGCUAAAACUCAAAGGAAUUGACGGGGCCCCGCACAAGCGGCGGAGCAUGCGGAUUAAUUCGAUGCAACGCGUAGAACCUUACCUGGGUUUGACAUGGAUCGGGAGUGCUCAGAGAUGGGUGUGCCUCUUUUGGGGUCGGUUCACAGGUGGUGCAUGGCUGUCGUCAGCUCGUGUCGUGAGAUGUUGGGUUAAGUCCCGCAACGAGCGCAACCCUUGUUCACUGUUGCCAGCACGUUAUGGUGGGGACUCAGUGGAGACCGCCGGGGUCAACUCGGAGGAAGGUGGGGAUGACGUCAAGUCAUCAUGCCCCUUAUGUCCAGGGCUUCACGCAUGCUACAAUGGCUGGUACAGAGAGUGGCGAGCCUGUGAGGGUGAGCGAAUCUCGGAAAGUCGGUCUCAGUUCGGAUUGGGGUCUGCAACUCGACCUCAUGAAGUCGGAGUCGCUAGUAAUCGCAGAUCAGCAACGCUGCGGUGAAUACGUCCCCGGGGCU